GACCACACAGAAUGCUCUCCUCCUAUGUCAUCCAUGUUCCCUUAUUGUGUCACACAGUGCAUGUGGGAGCUCCGUGUGAUUGCCCAAAAGAAGGCCCACCUCCCCUUGCUGCAGUGAACUUGCUCCUACCAGCAGUGAGGACUACGUGGCAGCUAGUCUGUGAAGCCUCAUGAACUGGGAUCUAACAAGUUGCAGCUCUGCUGUUUGGCAGAUACUGCCAUCACUACAACCACCCCCUGGUGCCUGCUCACACAUCAGCUGGAUAUGUGUGCCUCUGGAUCCAAAAGAGAAGAGAGAAGAUGUAUCUUCUCUCUCACCACUGCAGCUGGAAGUGCAAGAUGCCAACAGAAGCUGCUGGUGGAAGCGGGCGCAUGCUGCUGCUGUGCAUCACAGCAGCUACAGCCUAGACUAGUUCUGCUCCAUCUUUACAAGCCUUUUGUACCUAUACAGUUACAAGGACUUAAGAGCUGAACUUUCUUUUUUGCUUUUCUCCUAACAAAGACACGGCCUGCUUGGGGUUGGAUUUUGGUUGUUUCUGUUUACUCUGACAAUAUGCUUGAAAUGGACAUGAGAGGAGACCCUGCCAUUUGGACGCAGCAUCUGUAUUUUUCUCCCUUUCAUUAAAUGAAAUGCAAUGUCCAUAAACAACGUAGCACACAAAGGUCUCUUUCGUACCUUGAUGCAUAGCAGAGCACGGUGUUGAUGACAGCUCUCACAUCUAUUGGUUUUCUCUGCCAGGCUAAAUCUAGUUGCAAAAAAAUGAUAGAAAUAACUUUUAAAGGUCUUCGUUUCAAGUCCCAAUACUUGCCCUAUGUCUGAAAGAUUGUAAAGAUGAGAUACUGGGUGAAUUGUGAUGUGUGCACAGCAUAUAUGAUUUAAGAUAGUGAAACCAAAAGAAAUAUGUGAAAAACAGGCCUGAAUUUCAAGGGUCAUCUUUAAAUGUUCACACUGUACAAGUUUCUAAAUCUUUCAGUGGAGCAAUUAUUUAAUAAAUCCAUUUGUCCUCAGUUCCGAAAUUGAAAA
RNAcentral lists this long non-coding RNA (1023 nucleotides) under Coturnix japonica (Japanese quail). Its description in RNAcentral is "lncRNA (ENSCJPG00005017412.1)". The record is from RNAcentral. Lineage: Eukaryota; Metazoa; Chordata; Aves; Galliformes; Phasianidae.